CUUGCUGGGUGGAUUAGUGGCGAACGGGUGAGUAACACGUGAGUAACCUGCCCUUGACUCUGGGAUAAGCCUGGGAAACUGGGUCUAAUACUGGAUAUGACUUCUCACCGCAUGGUGGGGGGUGGAAAGAUUUAUUGGUCUUGGAUGGACUCGCGGCCUAUCAGCUUGUUGGUGAGGUAAUGGCUCACCAAGGCGACGACGGGUAGCCGGCCUGAGAGGGUGACCGGCCACACUGGGACUGAGACACGGCCCAGACUCCUACGGGAGGCAGCAGUGGGGAAUAUUGCACAAUGGGCGCAAGCCUGAUGCAGCGACGCCGCGUGAGGGAUGACGGCCUUCGGGUUGUAAACCUCUUUCAGUAGGGAAGAAGCGAAAGUGACGGUACCUGCAGAAGAAGCGCCGGCUAACUACGUGCCAGCAGCCGCGGUAAUACGUAGGGCGCGAGCGUUAUCCGGAAUUAUUGGGCGUAAAGAGCUCGUAGGCGGUUUGUCGCGUCUGCCGUGAAAGUCCGGGGCUUAACCCCGGAUCUGCGGUGGGUACGGGCAGACUAGAGUGCAGUAGGGGAGACUGGAAUUCCUGGUGUAGCGGUGAAAUGCGCAGAUAUCAGGAGGAACACCGAUGGCGAAGGCAGGUCUCUGGGCUGUAACUGACGCUGAGGAGCGAAAGCAUGGGGAGCGAACAGGAUUAGAUACCCUGGUAGUCCAUGCCGUAAACGUUGGGCACUAGGUGUGGGGGACAUU
RNAcentral lists this ribosomal RNA (740 nucleotides) under Micrococcus terreus. Its description in RNAcentral is "bacterial SSU rRNA". It matches the Rfam family "Bacterial small subunit ribosomal RNA", at positions 79 to 833 of the family's 1533-position model. Lineage: Bacteria; Bacillati; Actinomycetota; Actinomycetes; Micrococcales; Micrococcaceae. The record is from RNAcentral.